UAGACAUUCUAAUGGCACCCCUGACAGAUCUCCAAAGCCUAGUCAGAAUAAAGAAAACCUGGAAACACCAGCUCUGUAACACAGCACCAUGAUGUGUGAAAAUAUUUGGCAACAAAGCCUUGCAAAAUCAUCCAGCUCAGAGGAGGAUAGCAUUUCUGGGUAACUGUACAUCUAAAUAUAACUCCUCUCUUGUGCUGUGCCGUUAUUAGGAUCUGAUAAUUAUAAGAAACACAACAGGAGUUUGCGCUUCCAGCUCAAAAAGCAAGAAACAGUACAUGGAUUAGCUGGAUAGAUUAAAAAAAUGUGUUCAUUUCUCUGAGACAAAGAUUGCUAUUACGAAAAGUGAUGAAAUUCCACUGGAUUCUGGGUCUGAGCUCCAAGAAUCUGAGGAACCAGCGAGUCAAGAGCAAGCAAUUUCAUGCCUCCUUUUCCUUUGGAUACUGAGAUGGGAAUGUGUGGAGGGUCCAGCCCCAAAACCAAAACCAAAACACCAAAGAACAAUCAACCUCUGCAGGUGGUGCAGGUGAGAGUUGGGCAACUCAUGGGGGACUGGGAGGAUUAGCAUCUGUAAAAGUCUGGGUGCAAAAGAACCCAAUAAAAACAUUUCAAGAGACAUACAAAUCUGGCUGUUGAUGUGAAGGUGCCUAGUUUUAUAUUUCAGGAACCACUUUUGAACCUUUCAGCCCGGUGGUGGAUCACGACCACCGGGAAACUCAGCACCCUUCAUGGAAGAAGGUUUUUUGGAUCUUAUAAAAGUGAAAAUAAAGGCUACGCUGGCAGUUUCAUUAGGGGCUUGAGGACCUUAGAUGCCACAACUGCCCCCUUCUAGCAAGUGAAUGUCAAGUGUGACCUCUGUCCAGCAUCACCCUGGGAUUCUCUUCCAUGGAAGACCACAGUUCCUGGUCAUCGUCUUGUCCCUUGGGGCUGCCCAACUUCUGGUUUUUGCCUGUGUUCUCAUGAAGUGUCAAUCUGGUUGCCCGGCUUCUCUGUAUCCACUCAGAUGAAUCCAGGAAAUGGACUGAAAUGUGCGCUGGGCAGGUGCUUGUGAUCUGUGUUUUCUGGGCAAUGCAGGAGCUACUGAUUUAAGUGGACGUCAUGAAACUUUGAAAAGAAACCCAGGAGAAGACUCGACUGUGGCUGAAAGGCAGAAGGUACCAUCUCGUAUUUGGAGAUUCUGCACAUUGUUCAGCCCAGGUCAUAAAUGCUGGGACUGAGCUACAUUAUAUGAUGAAGAUAGACUUGGCUACAAGAUUGUGGAGAUUUGGGUUCUAACAUGACAAUCAACACAACCGUGUAUUUUCUGAGUGACUAGAGCACCUUCCUUCCCAUCUCUGGUUCCAUGAAAUGCAAAAGCAAAUCCAAAAACAAGAUACCAAUAAAUAAAAAACAAACAAACAAACAAACAACCUUUGGCUUAAUGAAUUCAGUGAGUUCCCAAACCAGUCAGCUGCAAAUGGGUUUUGUAAAUUCCCAGCAUGUUUCUGAGCCACUGUAUUACUGUUUCAGUAUUUAUACUGAAAGCUCACUUUGAAAACUUUAAUAGUUAUCUUUGAAUGAACUUCUAGAUCUUACUAUAUGUAUUAAAGUGACA
This is a non-coding RNA of Ictidomys tridecemlineatus (thirteen-lined ground squirrel), 1591 nucleotides long. Lineage: Eukaryota; Metazoa; Chordata; Mammalia; Rodentia; Sciuridae. The record is from RefSeq and is a predicted model, not a curated record.